UCUACCAGGAAGACUCUAAUACCACGUCAUUCAUUCAUAAAAUCGGCUUACCAAUCACAGCUCAAUGCCGACUAUUUAAACGCUGAACUAACACUCUCUCCUGCUGCCCGUAGGUGUCGUAGCUGAAGUUCGUUUGCUCGAUGCUUAGUGCAAACCAAACGUUUCCAAAGCGAUUGUUACUCGUCCACGCAGAAUCGGAUGUCAAAACGCUCGCCCUUCCUCUGCUUAUUUGUGAAUUCAGUAUGUUUACUCGGCCCGCAAUGUUUUCGUGUCAAUUUAACCUUUUCCCAGGAUCUCUCAUCCACGAUAUGCUACUCGUCUCAUUUGCCGCUCGUUCUCACAGACUGCAACACAAGGUUACAGUAGGCGUGUUUGACCAGUCCCUUCGAACGCAACUCAUCUUUGCCAAAGACCCUUAUUUAGGGAAGCUCGCAAAACUUGGCACAAAAACGCAAGGAAUGAGGCCGUUUCAUUUCAAUGAACAGAUUAAAAUACAAUGCAGUCCUGUUAAGCGUAAACUGUAAUCGACCAUAGCAACUCACUGGACGCUUGCACAGGUGUCACUGAUGAUUGCCUGAGAAGUUCGGCCGCAACAGGUGUCACUGAUCAUAUUGAUUGCCUGAGGAGUUACGGUUCAUGGUAAACACCGAAGGGUGAUGUCUUCCUAACUAAAAUAUCUUUGUCUUCUCAUCUAAACGAGAGUCACCACACGAAGGCUCUUUAAAGCAAAGAUAUAGAUUUUUUUUACGGCAUUAUUCCUCCUGAAAGGCGAUCGCGUUUCAACAGCACGGCAUUAACGCGUGAGUAAGUUAACGUCAAAAAGACCCCAAUCCAACUGUCUGUUUUCUGUGCGUGUUUGUUGUAAACAAAUGGUGUAAAACGUGUAAACGACAAAAUGGUGUAAAAUCAUAUGUGUCUGCCUAAGAAACAAGGAUUGACAUCUCUUCGAUUUCUUAGCAAUCAAGCCAGUCGAUCUACUUCACUUUUGGGGGUAGGCUCCGCCCCUGCCUUCAACAUCAGGCAGGAUCUGCCGGACUACAGCUAGACCCGGACGAAAGGCGGGGCAUAUGCCAAAAGAAUCUUACGAGACUCAAGCAUCUCUUUUAUUUUGAGACUGAUUCGAAUUUCUGUCUUUUAAUUCAACAUGGAAUAAAUGUCAUUCAAACGUUCACUUGCCUUCUGAGUCUUUAUGGUAGAAAUGAAAGCGUCAGCGUAAGUUCUACCAGGAAGACUCUAAUACCACGUCAUUCAUUCAUAAAAUCGGCUUACCAAUCACAGCUCAAUGCCGACUAUUUAAACGCUGAACUAACACUCUCUCCUGCUGCCCGUAGGUGUCGUAGCUGAAGUUCACCUCCAUCCUCCCCACCACCACCAGGUUGUUCCCUGUUCUUUUGUCCGGGGGUAGGCUCCGCCCCUGCCUUCAACAUCAGGCAGGAUCUGCCGGACUACAGCUAGACCCGGACGAAAGGCGGGGCAUAUGCCAAAAGAAUCUUACGAGACUCAAGCAUCUCUUUUAUUUUGAGACUGAUUCGAAUUUCUGUCUUUUAAUUCAACAUGGAAUAAAUGUCAUUCAAACGUU
Misgurnus anguillicaudatus (oriental weatherfish) is the source of this 1579-nucleotide non-coding RNA. The record is from RefSeq and is a predicted model, not a curated record. NCBI's taxonomy places the organism in Eukaryota, Metazoa, Chordata, Actinopteri, Cypriniformes, Cobitidae.